AGGAUUUUAAGUUAUUUUAAACUUAGGGACUUCAACUCCCUCAAAAAAAGUGUACCUUUUAAAUCCUA
RNAcentral lists this transfer RNA (68 nucleotides) under Jonas distinctus. RNAcentral's name for it is "tRNA-Trp". Lineage: Eukaryota; Metazoa; Arthropoda; Malacostraca; Decapoda; Corystidae. The record is from RNAcentral.